This 76-nucleotide transfer RNA is filed under the name Candidatus Phytoplasma asiaticum. RNAcentral describes it as "'Parthenium hysterophorus' phyllody phytoplasma tRNA-Ala". It matches the Rfam family "tRNA". Rfam says of the family: Transfer RNA (tRNA) molecules are approximately 80 nucleotides in length. The record is from RNAcentral. Lineage: Bacteria; Bacillati; Mycoplasmatota; Mollicutes; Acholeplasmatales; Acholeplasmataceae.
GGGGUUUUAGCUCAGUUGGUAGAGCGCCUGUUUUGCACACAGGAGGCCAGCGGUUCGAAUCCGCUAAGCUCCACCA